This 284-nucleotide long non-coding RNA is filed under the name Salvia miltiorrhiza (redroot sage). RNAcentral's name for it is "long non-coding RNA (SMIL_LNC010095)". Lineage: Eukaryota; Viridiplantae; Streptophyta; Magnoliopsida; Lamiales; Lamiaceae. The record is from RNAcentral.
AAAGUAGGCUCAGAAAGGAUACAUGUCUUCAUACAUGUAUCUCAGUUAUGCUUUCCGCUGUAAACACUGAUUAUUUCAGUUACGCCUUCCGUUGCAAACUCUGAUAAAGUUUUACUCAAGCCUCUAACGAUGCCUUUUUCCUUUUAAGGAAUAUAACGCGUAUACAAGUUCUUUGAGUACCCUUUUUAUGUGAACUAUGCCUUUUUCCUUUUUAAGGAAUAUUUCACGCAUAUUCAAACUCUUUGAGUAUUCUUUUAUGCACCCCUUUCUAAACCCGCUUCUUA